GUGGGGAAUAUUGGACAAUGGGCGAAAGCCUGAUCCAGCCAUGCCGCGUGUGUGAAGAAGGCCUUUUGGUUGUAAAGCACUUUAAGCGAGGAGGAGGCUACCGAGAUUAAUACUCUUGGAUAGUGGACGUUACUCGCAGAAUAAGCACCGGCUAACUCUGUGCCAGCAGCCGCGGUAAUACAGAGGGUGCAAGCGUUAAUCGGAUUUACUGGGCGUAAAGCGCGCGUAGGUGGCCAAUUAAGUCAAAUGUGAAAUCCCCGAGCUUAACUUGGGAAUUGCAUUCGAUACUGGUUGGCUAGAGUAUGGGAGAGGAUGGUAGAAUUCCAGGUGUAGCGGUGAAAUGCGUAGAGAUCUGGAGGAAUACCGAUGGCGAAGGCAGCCAUCUGGCCUAAUACUGACACUGAGGUGCGAAAGCAUGGGGAGCAAACAGGAUUAGAUACCCGUGUAGUCC
This 451-nucleotide ribosomal RNA is filed under the name uncultured bacterium. RNAcentral's name for it is "partial 16S ribosomal RNA". It matches the Rfam family "Bacterial small subunit ribosomal RNA", at positions 354 to 796 of the family's 1533-position model. The record is from RNAcentral.